CUGGUAAAUCAGGAAGGAAAACAGGCCAGGGUUAGGAAAGCUGCUCCAUGGUCCAGGCUGCUCUGAGGGGCAGAGCCUUCCCACCGUGCUGCUGCAGCAUCUGGCUUCAUCCCUCCCGAGUCCAUCCCAGUCUGAUCAGGUAGGGGAGUGGAAGCGGGAGAGGGAGCCUGGGAACCCGGGAGGCCUCUUCUCUAUCAUCUUUGACCAAAUCUCAGUGCCUCUACGAAUGCUUGAGAAGAGCUGGCUUCUGAGGGCAGCAGGCAGGACUGGGCCCUUCCUCCUGGUCUCCCAGCAAGGUUUACUUUCCCCUGCGAUAGGUGGCCAAGGCUGGAGCAAGGCACAGCUCACUCUGACAAGAUAAACUGCAAGAAAUGUGAGAGGCGACAAGAGAAGGAAAAGGCAGGUCAGUGGGGUGGCUCAAGCCUGUAAUCCCAGCAUUUUGGGAGGUUGAGACAGGAGGAUCACUUGAAGCCAGGAGUUCGAGACCAGCCUGGGCAACAUAGUGAGAUACUGUCUCUACAAAAAAGAAAAAAAAAAAAAAAGGAAAAGCAGCACAUGGUCCAGUGCACCAAGGUUGGGGAAGUGUGAGAAGGGAGGUCAGCAGAGACAAGGCUGAGGCCUGCAGUGCACCUGCCACUGGGGCCUAGCUCCUGCUCCCUUCAGCCCUGCAGCCUGCAGCCCCCUCACUGCUACUGGCAGCCCUGCUCCUGACUCCUCAGUCCCCCUCCUGUGCUGCCCUGGCCCUCUCGGCAGGCUCUCCCUUCUUCCGCAACUCCUUCAGGGCAUCCUUGAAUGAGGGUCACAGUGAGCAGCUCUGGCCAUGCCCCACCAGGCUGCACCCACGGCUCUUCCUUUCCUCAUGGCCCCUCUGGAGAGUGACAGGGGAUGGGCUUGCCUGUCCUCCUUGUGGUCCAUGUCUCCAUUCCUAGCCACUACUCUCUGGAGGACCCCAAAGGAACCUCAAACCAAUUUGCUUCAGAAUUGUUUCUUAACCCCCCUUCUCUCUGUCCAUUUCAUCACCAUAAUCCAGGCCGCUCGACACAUCUCUUCCUAACUAUUCACCUGCUCCAGGCUUGUCUUCUCAAUCUGUCCUCAAAGCUGCCUCCAAUGACCCACCUAUGUAACUUGACCACCCCAUAACUCUGCUUUCUACCUCUUAGGAGCUUCCCAACUUUCGGGACAGUCAAGACUCCCUGCACGGCCCACCCAGCCUCCUCACCUCUCUUCACACCAGUCUCAACUUUUAGAGUCCAGCAGCUUCCAAUCACUUCUUUGCACACUCUGCGCUGCUGGCCUCCUCACUUUGUGCUUGCUGUUCCCUCUGCCUAGAAUGCCCUUAUCUGGAGACCUGGCUUAGACCACACCCAUUCCAUGACGCCACCCCGGAUUGCCCCUUUCCUGUGCUUUCAGAGCCCACCAGCCCUUCUCAGCCUCCAAGGACACAGGACAUCAGCUCAGGGCCUUGAAGGAGCCCUAGUCAGCGUGGUCCUGAGUCACCAAGUCUGUCAAGGCCAACAGGACUGAGACCUCCACAAACUGACGCUGAAGUCUAAGGACCUUUUUCCUUGUUCCACCCCACUGCGCCUCAGAUGUUUCCAGGAGUUUCUGAAGGUCAUGUUAACUAGAAUUUACUCUUAAAACCAAAGACACAGAAAUAAACGUUAAGCAUAGUAUUUGCAUAGUCUUUUAGAAGAACAUAGGAAACUAAAAGAAUGAUCAACCUAAACAGAAUAAUUUCCAUAAGGAAAAAGAAAAGGUUGCCAGGCCAGGCACAGUGGCUCACACCUGUAAUCCCAGCACUUUGGGAGGCUGAGACAGGCAGAUCGCCUGAAGUCAGGAGUUCAAGACCAGCCUGGUCAACAUGGCGAAAUCCUGUCUCUACUGAAAAUACAAAAAUUAGCCAGGCGUAGUAGUGCGUGCCUGUAAUCCCAGCUACUCGGGAAGCUGAGGCAGGAGAUUCGCUUGAACUCAGGAGGCAGAGGUUGCAGUGAGCCAUAAUCACACUACUGCACUCCAGCCUGGGUGACAGAGCGAGACUCCAUCUCAAAAAAAAAAAGGAAACGUGUCAAAGAGCUACCCUCCACAAGCACCAAGCACUGACAAUCACAAGGACUUCUACUAGACAGGCAGAGUGGGUAUUCCAAUACUAUUCAAUUGUUCCACAGCACAGAAAAGAAAAAAUUCUAAAUUCUUUCUAUGGAACAAAAAAAUCAUCAAUGACACCUGACCAAAGAUGGCACACACACACACACACACACACACACACACACACACACACUACAGUCCAACCCCACUAAUGAAUACAAAAAUCCUAACACUAGCAAACAGAACCAUUAAAAUCUAUUAACAGGGGCCAGGCGCUGUAGCUCAUGCCUGUAAUCCCAGAGUUUUGGGAGGCCAAGGCGGGUGGAUUGCCUGAGCUCAGGAGUUUGUGACCAGCCUGGGCAACAUGGUGAAACACCGUCUCUAAUAAAAUACGAAAAAUUAGCCGGGUGUGGCGGCAUGUGCCUGUAGUCCCAGCUACUCAGGAGGCAGAAGCAGGAGAAUUGCUAGAAUCCAGGAGGCAGAGGUUGCAGUGAGCCAAGAUCGCACAAGUGCACUCCAGCCCGGGCGACAGAGCGAGACUCCGUCACUAUAUAGAUAAAUAAAUAAAUAACAGGGCUGGGCGUGGUGGCUCACACUUGUAAUCCCAGCACUUUGGGAGGCUGAGGCAGGCAGAUCACCUGAGGUCAGGAGUUCAAGACCAGCCUGGCCAACAUGGCGAAACCCCAUCUCUACUACAAAUACAAAAAUUAGCCAGGCAUGGUGGCGAGCG
RNAcentral lists this long non-coding RNA (2815 nucleotides) under Homo sapiens (human). Its description in RNAcentral is "HSALNT0263567". Lineage: Eukaryota; Metazoa; Chordata; Mammalia; Primates; Hominidae. The record is from RNAcentral.